This 1004-nucleotide long non-coding RNA is filed under the name Nicotiana tabacum (common tobacco). Its description in RNAcentral is "long non-coding RNA (NTAB_LNC014741)". The record is from RNAcentral. Lineage: Eukaryota; Viridiplantae; Streptophyta; Magnoliopsida; Solanales; Solanaceae.
CUACGGGCUACAUUGCAUCGAGUUCGAAUCAUUCGCUCGACUGCCAAGCCUACGGGCUACCUUUAUUUCGAGUUCGAGCAAUCACUCACUCGACCAUUAAGCCUACGGGCUACUUUGACUAUUAUGCCUACGGGCUACAUUGCAUUGAGUUCGAAUCAUUCGCUCGACUGCCAAGCCUAUGAGCUACCUUUAUUUCGAGUUCGAGCAAUCACUCACUCGACCAUUAAGCCUACGGGCUACUUUGACUAUUACGCCUACGGGCUACAUUGCAUCGAGUUCGAAUCAUUCACUCGACUACUAAGCCUACGGGCUACCUUUAUUUCGAGUUCGAGCAAUCACUCACUCGACCAUUAAGCCUAUGGGCUACUUUGACUAUUACGCCUACGGGCUACAUUGCAUCGAGUUCGAAUCAUUCGCUCGACUUCCAAGCCUACGGGCUACCUUUAUUUCGAGUUCGAGCAAUCACUCACUCGACCAUUAAGCCUACGGGCUACUUUGACUAUUACGCCUACGGGCUACAUUGCAUCGAGUUCGAAUCAUUCGCUCGACUUCCAAGCCUACGGGCUACCUUUAUUUUAGUUCGAGCAAUCACUCACUCGACCAUUAAGCCUACAGGCUACUUUAACUAUUACGCCUACGGGCUACAUUGCAUCAAGUUCUAAUCAUUCACUCGAUUGCCAAGCCUACGGGCCACCUUUAUUUCGAGUUCGAGCAAUCACUCAGUCGACCAUUAAGCCUAUGGUCUACUUUAACUAUUACGCCUACGGGCUAUAUUGCAUCGAGUUUGAAUCAUUCACUCGAUUGCCAAGCCUACGGGUUACCUUUAUUUCGAGUUCGAGCAAUCACUCACUAGACCAUUAAGCCUACGGGCUACUUUAACUAUUACGCCUACGGGCUACUUUAACUAUUAGUUCGAAUCAUUCACUCGAUUGCCAAGCCUACGGGCUACCUUUAUUUCGAGUUCGAGCAAUCACUCACUCGACCAUUAAGCCUACGGGCUACUU